AAACUCAAAGGAAUUGACGGGGCCCGCACAAGCGGUGGAGCGUGUGGUUUAAUUCGAAGCAACGCGAAGAACCUUACCAGGUCUUGACAUCCCCUGACAACCCGAGAGAUCGGGCGUUCCCCUUCGGGGGACAGGGUGACAGGUGGUGCAUGGUUGUCGUCAGCUCGUGUCGUGAGAUGUUGGGUUAAGUCCCGCAACGAGCGCAACCCUCGACCUUAGUUGCCAGCAUUCAGUUGGGCACUCUAAGGUGACUGCCGGCUAAAAGUCGGAGGAAGUGGGGAUGACGUCAAAUCAUCAUGCCCCUUAUGACCUGGGCUACACACGUGCUACAAUGGGCGGUACAAAGGGUCGCGAACCCGCGAGGGGGAGCCAAUCCCAAAAAGCCGCUCUCAGUUCGGAUUGCAGGCUGCAACUCGCCUGCAUGAAGCCGGAAUCGCUAGUAAUCGCGGAUCAGCAUGCCGCGGUCGAAUACGUUCCCGGGCCUU
RNAcentral lists this ribosomal RNA (485 nucleotides) under uncultured Anoxybacillus sp. RNAcentral's name for it is "bacterial SSU rRNA". It matches the Rfam family "Bacterial small subunit ribosomal RNA", at positions 897 to 1382 of the family's 1533-position model. Lineage: Bacteria; Bacillati; Bacillota; Bacilli; Caryophanales; Anoxybacillaceae. The record is from RNAcentral.